This is an RNA transcript of Chelonia mydas (Green sea turtle), 11379 nucleotides long. It is a transcript of the gene named PML nuclear body scaffold, with no coding region annotated. The transcript is spliced from 11 exons. The record is from RefSeq and is a predicted model, not a curated record. Lineage: Eukaryota; Metazoa; Chordata; Testudines; Cheloniidae.
AGCUCCUCCUCCCUGCAGGUCACACAGAGAAAAUGAAACUAGCUGUGGCUCUUCUGCUUUGCAGGAAGCUCCUUGUUACUCUCCCUUGGCCGGUUACUCUCCCUUGGCCACAGCGGCAGCUAGACCGUCCCCAGAGCCGUGGCCGGAGCUGGCUGUGCAUCCGCUCUCAAUGCAGGUGAUGGAGGAAGAAUUUCAGUUCCUGCUCUGCCAGGGGUGCCAGAAAGAACCCAGGAAUCCCAAGCUCCUGUCCUGCCUUCACACUUUGUGCACCGACUGCCUGGAAGAGAACAAGCCCGUUGGCCAGUGCCCCAUCUGCCAGGCUCCCAUCCCACAAGCCAGCGGGAUCCCAGACCAGGACAACCUGCUCUUUGCCAAUCUGCAGGCCAAGCUGAGCACCUACCAGAAGAUUGUCAGCAGCAGCGACUUGGUCUGUGACCGCUGCAGAGAUCUGGCUGAGUUUUGGUGCUCUGAGUGUGAGGAGUUCUUUUGCAUCAGAUGCUUUGAGGCCCACCAGUGGUUCUCAAAGAAGAAAAGCCACGAAACCAGGAAGGUGAGGGAGCUGAAGGCAGAAUCUGCCAAACAGUUUCUGGAGGGAGCAAGAAAGUCCAGAAUCCUCUUCUGUUCCAAUCCCACCCACAAUGACCAGAACUACAUUACAAGUAGUAUCUACUGCAGAGGAUGUUUCAAGCCUCUCUGUUGUUCCUGUGCGCUCCUGGAUAGUGAGCACUCAAAACUCUACUGCAACAUCCAGACGGAAAUCGAGCGGCGGCAGGAGGAGCUGGGGAGCCUGAGCGAAGAGCUGAAGAGGAAGAAGGCCCACUUUGAAGAUGUCUAUAAAAGCCUGAAGGGCAAAGCUGACCACUUGGACCGGGUGAGGACUGAAAACCAGGAGCUGAUCCAAAAGAGCAUCCAACACAUGGUGAAGUUGAUCCAAGAGAAGGAGCAGGAGCUGCUGGAGAUGGUGGAAAGACAGCACCGCCUGGGGAAUGAGGACCUAGAGGGGAAGCUGAAGCAGAUGGAAGCUGUGCUCAAAAGGAUGGGGGCCAGUGAGCAGCUAGUGGAGAAGAUGCAUCUCUAUGCAUCAGACCAGGAAGUGAUGGACAUGCACCCCUUCAUCAAAGGAUCCUUAGAGGAGCUCAUGAAGCUGCAGCCUCUGGCAGUGGGUGCCAGUGUCCAGGCUGGAGACUUCGCCGAGUGUAAAGCCAAACUCCAGGCUCUGUUUGAAAGAGUGACUGGGGAGAGAGAUGCUGCCUCCUGCGCUGCCCGAGUAGCUCCAAUGACUGAGGUAUCUUCACCUAAGGACUUGCCAGGGGAGUUCACUCAGCUUAGGACUCAAGAGCAGCACCCGGUUCCCAUGCUUACUGGCAACAUCCAGGAGGCGCACCUGGGCAUGGCCUCCCCAGGGAAGAGGAAACCAGGCCAAGCUGAAAAGGCCGUCCAGACACCUCUCAAGGUGCUAAAGCUUGAAUCUCAGCCCAAGAUGCUGGAGAGAAACCCCAGCAAGUGCGACCAGGGCUUGCUAGACUUGGACCUGCAGCCUGGACCCAGCACCUCAACACCCAGCAGAAACUGUGGAGGGGCUCCUGCAGCGAGGAGAGCUGUGCUCUCUCAGGAGCUGGGAAACGCCCACUCUGAGCCCGGAGAUCAAGAAGACUCCAGCAUCGUGAUAAGCAGUUCCGAAGAUACGGACGAAGACACGGUGCUCUCCAGCAUGCUAGAGGGCAGCAAGGACUCCUCCUCAUACCUGCCAUUCGAAUGGGAAAGCAGCGUGCCAGGCUCUGGGGUCGUGGCCAGCACUGGCUUUGGGGGAAGCACGCUGGUGUUCUUCGACAUGAAGGUCAACAAAGACACACAGAUGAUCACUCAGCUGGCUGCAGUGAAUGGAGAAAACAGCUUUAAGGCUGUGAUACAAAUCCCAGAGUCUGUGCUCGGUUUGAUUUCCCAAGGUGUCUCCCUUGAGACAGGGCUAGAGAACUUUCUCUGCUACCUCCGCUCUGUUCCCAAGCCCAUCUUAGUUGUAUAUAACUUCUGGACGUCGGAGCUCACUGUUCUCUUUAAAGCCUUGGAUUCUUUUGCCAAGAAAUGGGACUUCUGCACAAGUGUCUGUGGUUACCUGGAUACCAUGCCCUUGAUUAAGGAAAAGAUUCCCAUGUUUGGUCUUUAUAAAAUGAAGAACCUGGUGAGAACAUACCUGCAGAAGCCACUGAACGACAGCAGCGCUCUGGCAUCGGCGAAGGCCCUAAGGGAUCUGUGUAAACUUCUGGAGAUCCACACAGAUUUAAAUCCGAGGCCUGCACUCUCUCAUUGCAACCUGGAAUCUUACACUUCCCUUCAGCCUUUGUUGCAGGAGAAAUUGCUCACCAGGUCUGCUGCAAAGACUCUGGCAAUGCGCAGUAUGGUCCUCUGUGAACUGCAGGAGUCAUAGCAGUAGAUAGGGCUGCCAGUGACUUCAGGUCUCUCCAUGAUCAGCCUGAAGGUUUGAAUGAUAAGUUAUAUUAUUAUUACGUGCUGCUGCUGACGGUCGACCUGCUUCUGCUGGUGCCGUCAAUUGCCAGUGUAUCUGUGCUUUGGAUAAUCGAGCUCUGUAUUUCCGAUGGACACCUGGGAGGAAGCUGCUAAACAGCUCUCCCUUUUCCUAGCAAGAGUGCAACAAGCUGCAGCGUGAGGCCGUUACUGAGCUACCUCUCUUUAGGUGCUUUUAGCUUGUCAGUCACCAGACUGUCCCAGUGCUCUAUCUGUCAUGUAUGAUUAAACUACUUUUAAAACUAAGAGAGUCUCUAAGGUGUUCCUGGUUGGAAUCUAACCCACGUCACAACUGUAGAGAGGCCUAUUUGCUACACACGCCUUUGGAAUUCUGGCUUCUUGCCCUAAACAUGACUCUCUGAAAUUAACAAGCAUCUGAUAAGAGAUUUACUAUCCCAAGUUAGGUUUUUCUAGUGUCUGUCCUGCUCCACAAGUCAGACUCUGCUCAGUUACAGAGGUAUAAAUCCUGAUCAGUUCCACUAAAGAUCUAUGCAGUUAUUGAAUUCCUCUGAUACAAACAAGAGCAGAAUGUGGGCCACACUCACUUGCUUAAAGAGGAAGGAUGGUGUGUGUGGAGGCAUUGCAUGGGGACUCAGGAGACCAGGCUUCAGUUCCUGAUUCAGCCACAGACUGUCUGUAUGACCUUGGGAAAGUCGUUUGAUCUCGCAAAUCCCCAGCUGUGAAAUGGGGAAUAAUGAGCUGUCCUCUCUCUGUCGUGACUAUUUAGACUGGAAGCUCUUUGGGGCAGAGGCUGUCUCAGUGUGUAUGUACAGCACCCAGUAUAAUGGGGCCUGCGUCUCAGUUAGAGCCUCUAGGCACUACCUUAAUGCAAAUCAUACUGCUCUCUAACAAAAAGCUACUUUCUUUUUGUGUGGGUGGUAUAGUGGUGAGCAUAGCUGCCUUCCAAGCCGCUGACCUGGAUUCGUUUCUCAGCCAACACAAUGAUGGCUUUGGAUGAUUUAGUUGGGGAUUCGGGUGAUUUAGUUGGGCAUUGGUCCUGCUUUGGGCAGGGGGUUGGAUGAGAUGACCUCCUGAGGUCCCUUCCAACCCUGAUAUUCUAUGAUUGAAAAGGACAGGAAGCUAGGCAGGAUGGUCUGCAGGACUGCAGUCAGGAAUCCUCUUCCUGGGAGAAUAUAGCACUGUAAGGAGAUCACAUCCAGCAGGAAUCUUACAGCAGCGCAGGACAGUGAGGUACCCUGGAGGAGUGUUUUCAUCCUAGCCACCAUUCAGCCCCACUGGCCAGUUUGAUCGCUAACAAGUUGGUCGGGAGUUUAGUGCUCCAAGGGGAAUUCCAGUUGACAGCGUCACAGAGAUUCCAGUCACGGUAGUCACAGACAAGAGGAAGUCGCUAACCACACCAGAGUUAGCAUGUGAAGAAGUCACUGUCCUGUGGCCUUAGUAUCAAGGAGAUCACAACCUGGCCAACUUGCUCAUUGCACAAGUCUUGCUGGAGUCCAGGCCUGCCCCCUUCCUAUCCCUAAUGCCAUUGGGGGCAGCCUAUCCCGGAUGGAACUAUGGGGCCCAACCCUGCCCCUUAUGAUGCCAAUGGCCCCAGUCCUACUCCAGAACCAGCAGUCUUUGCUAUUCAUCAGUAGUCACUGAAGAGUCUGGACAAAGACAUUUCAGAUCAUGGAUUGUUCACCAACGCUUCAUGUUGACUGGUCACUGUUAAUGAUUCCUGCUGUAUGAUUUGUCGCCUAAACCAUAUGCUCUCAUUUGCACUCCCUGAGUAGACAACUGAAACUAGUAAAAUACCAAGUAAGGAACUGCCGUCUUUCCAGCACUGUUUUUCAGACACCACAAUUCAUUAGAGUGGAAAGUUCAGGGCCAUCAGGAUUCACAAACAUUUUCACAGACACAGUUUUUCACAUCCUCACAGUCAACAAACCCAGCUUGGCUGUCAGGAGGGACGGGGGAGCAGGAGCAGAGUGAGUUCCCUGGAGGGGAGGCAGUGGGAACCUGCUGGGGAACAGGAGCCUCUGGAGUGAGAGUGCUGGGAGGUGGUGCUCACCUAAGAGCGGACAGAAGAAUCCUGCAGCAGGCCCUGAAGCAGGAAGGACUGAAGGGGGCUGGGAGCUGCAGCCCAGGCUGGGCUGAGGAACUGUUUUGGUGUUUUGCCUACAUGUGAAAAAGACAGCUGAGCCUAGAAAGAGAUUCUGGAUGCAACUGCAUAGAAAACAGAUCAGGUUGUGAACAUUACCUCAGCAUCUGGUUUGUGUGGGUUGGAUUGGCACAGGGCAAGUUACUGAGCUUCCUGGAACCAUCAAGAAACAUCCUGGCAGAUCCCACCUUGAGAUCCUUCACCACCUUGGCUUCAUGGCUCUCUCACUUUAGAUACCUCUGGUGGGUCUCAAACCACUUGAUGCAAGGGCACUUCUCACAAUCAGAGCACCAGAACUCUCCCCCUUGCCCACAGUUGUCACAGACCAGGUCACUACCUUUGACAGUUAUCUGGUAGGUGCUCAGCUUGGCCUGCAGAUUGGCGAAGAGCAGGUUGUGCUGGUCUGGGAUCCCACUGGCUUGUGGGAUGGGAGUGUGGCAGAUGGUGCACUGGCCCAUGGGCUUGUUCACUUCCAGACAGUUGGUGCACAAGGUGUGAAGGCAGAACAGGAGCUUGUGAUUUCUGGGUUCUUUCUGGCAUCCCUGGCAGAGCAGAAAAUGGAAUUCUUCCUCCAUUGCCUUUGGGAACGAGAGAGAGACCAUGGAACUCCCCCUCACCUGCAUUUUCAGCCAACUCUACUAAUGAGCAGCUCUAUGUGUAGGGUCAGCGAUGCCUGGGAGGGGCAAGAAGGGUCACAUGCCCCUCCCCAGAUUUCGGGUGGGGGCAGGGGGGACACAUUCAGCACAGAACAGCAGUGGUGAAAGGAGCAGAAUGUGGGGCAGCCGACAGUUCCUCUGGCAUGGCUGUACUGCCCCCAGCCCUUCCACGCAGCUGUGUCUCCUGGCUGGGGUCUGUACAGCCCCACUAGAGGACAGGGCUGGGGCGGGGCUGCGGGCAGUACUGGUACAGCUGCACCGGAGGAGCUGCUGGUUUGGGGCUGCCGCUCCCAGGAGCCAGUGCCACUCACCGGCAGCUGCUCCGGUGCAGCUGUACCAGUACAGCCCCCAGCCCCAUCCUCCGGUGGGGUGUACAGACCCAGCCAGGUGACACAAACCGGUAUCUGGCACAACGGGAGGACAGACUCCCCCCUCCCCCAGGUAACCUGGGAUGGGGAGGGCAUGGGGAGAGUGCGGGGGCCCAGGGCUGGGGACAGGGUGGAAUCAUGAGGGGCGGUCAUGUGGGGAGGUCACAUACCGCCCUUUAGCUGGUGCCCGCCAUUUAGUCCCUCCCAUGAGUCACCUAUCCCACCAAAGUGCCCCCCAAACACGGGGAGAAUAAAUGGCAGUGACUUGCAGUGAGAUCUAUGAAGUAGGUGCUCCAGGCACCACUCGGAAGUAUGAUGUUGAGCUGGUAGGAAGCUCUGACUGAGCCAACCAAGAACUCAGACAAGAACAGCUCCAGAGCUGACAGCAACUCCUCAGGGCUAGGUUUCUUCCUGCUGCUGCUGCUACUGGUGGUGGUGAUGGUAGGAGCUGGUUGUUCUCCCUCAUUCACUGUCACCACGCUGUCUGCUGGGGACAAAGGUGUCAAGAAUGGUUUGGGGGCACCAGGCUGAUUGAGAUGAAGUUAGCUGUCAGCACAGGAGUGGCAGGGAACCACAAGCCACUGUCCAGUAAAGCUCUGAUGAGCGGUUAGAAAGGAGUCCCCUAGUCCUUCCUGUCCAUCCAUCCUCUAUUGGCCACCUGUAUAGUAUGCGAACCCCCAUUGUAUCUGGGUAUUAUAUUAACCUGCUACAACAUAAAAACAGAGAAGAGAGGUAUUGUGAGUCCUGUCCUGAGAGUUGGGAUGAUCCAGUGGUUAGGGUACUAGUCUGGGACUUUGAAGACUCAGGUUCAGUCUCCUACUCUGCCAGAGGUUUCCUGUGUGACCUUGGACAAGUCCCUUAACCUGUCUGUGCCUCUGUAUACUGGGUAUAAGAGCACUGCCCUACCUCCGAGGAGGGCUGUGAGGCUAAAUACAAUAGAGAUUGUGAGGUGCCCGUAUACUAGUGGGAGAGUCUGAGAAGUACCUAAAAUAGACAGUCCUCAUUUAAUCUCUUCUUCCUGUCCUGGUGACCAUGAAAGAGAGAUUUGGCAACACUCACUGCACAGCAGCAUCAGAGAUAACAGUUAUCUCCCUCUGCUCACAGUCUCAGCUGCCACUCUGAGUUCACUGCUGGCAACAGACGAGCUGCUGCUGGGAAAGGGCAGGCAUUCUCUGGGAAGAGGGAGGAGUGUUGGAGGCUGCAGAGAUGCACAGGUUGCAGUCGCUCCCAGGGAGGAGGGUUUGGAGCUGGUACACCCAGGGCCAGGAGGGGAACCAGGGUGGUAGGUAGCAGUACCGGGAAAGAGCAGUGAGGGCUGGGGAGAGGACAGCCCAGAGCAGAGCACGGGCCAGGUACCCCUACCGGCCACUGAGGGAGUGGCCCCUGCGGCAGUGAAUGGGAAGACUGCCUGGGGCUGCUGAAGGACAGACUUUGAUAUACCCCAGAAGUGGGGAACACUGAGCAACACAGCUGGAGGGCUGACUCACAAAGAGGAUGCUGUAGUUCCUGGGACGGAAAGGAGCUACGGACUGAGAGACGACAUGUGCCCACAGGAAGGGACGUUGGUUUUGAGCGCUAAUUCCCAGAGUGAUCAGGAAGAGGCACCAGACAAGUGGAGAACGGUGCACCCUGUGACACCCUUCCAUGGCAUGGGGCCAGGGAUCCAGCAUCGGGGUGGGGCUAUGGGGGGGGGGGGGGUUGCCUUAAUACAGGCAGUGCACAGCACAUGGGGCGGAGGUUCCAGUGAUUGAGCGCAGCAGGACACCGAGCAAAUGCAGACUCCUGGCAUCCCCGGGUGGAUGGAGGGAUUGUCUCAGCUGCUGCAUGAGCUCUCGUGGAGGGAAGGCCACUUGGCCUGGUGCCCCGGGGCACGUCCCCCUGCAGGGCUGCCAGCCAUCUCAUGUGAUGCCCCUGCCACACCUGCUCUCAACUGCGUCUCGCUGCCAGCUGAGCUGCAGGGAUCGCUCCACUGUGUCUCUUGCCCAUGGUCAGUCAGCAGAGCAGCACUGGGCAGAGAGGCCCAUGACCUCCACUCCUGCUGCUCCCGUGCUGGGUUGGCCCAAUGGGGAACAGCCACGGGGAGAGGGACCGAGGGUGGGGGGUGGCGGCGGCUGUAGCCAGCUGCUUCAGUGCCCCCUUACGCUAGCUUUUCAGGGAGAGAGCCUGGGGUGCUGGGGGAGAGGGGGGUGCAGAGACUGAGGUGGGGCAGAAUGGGGGUCAGGGUCUGUAAUGGACAGGGACAGAAUGAGGAGAAUAAUGGGAAGCAGGGACUGCUCCAGGAUUUCCUACCCCCCCAGCUGAUUUCUCCUCCCCUGCCCCCAGCAAUCGUCCCACCCCCUCGGAAUGCCCCAUGCUCUUCCCAGCCCUGUCUCUCAAUUGCCCCAUUCCCCCAGUCUCUCAAUCCCUGCCCCGUGCUCCCCCGACAUGGGGGCGGGGGGGCAGACCCUGAUAGGGCACAGCGAUCCGUUCUCAUUGCUACACCUGGGGCUGCCUGGCAAAGGCGUGGAGAGGAUGGGCAGGGGGCACAUCAGGGCCUUGCAGACCUCACUGCAUCCAGCGGCUGGUACCAUUCUGGCUCCAUUAGGGACCAGCCUCCUUCUCAUUGAACACAUUGGCAUCCCGGGCACCAGCCUGGCCACCUACAUGCUCCAGCUGCUGGUUUGGGGCAUGCUGCUCCAGCUCCUCCCCAGGGCCCCGCCCCUACUCCCCUCAAGAUUGCAGCCAGGUCCGACCCUGCGCUCACCCCGUGUAUCUACUGCAGAGGAUGUUUAAAGUCUCUCUUCUGUUCCUCCGCACUCCUGGAUAGUGAGCACUCAAAACUCUAUUAAAACUCUACAAAACUCUACUCUCCUGCAACAUCCAGACGGAAAUUGAGCAGCGGCAGGAGGAGCUGGGGAGCCUGAACAAAGAGCUGACGAGGAAGAAGGCCCACUUUGAAGAUGUCUGUAAAAGCCUCAAGGAUAAAGCUGACCACAUGGACCAGGUAACAAAUGUGGCUCCCCACGUUAAUCCUCUUGGUAAAUAUACCUGAUGCAGCCUCCUGUGACCCGCCUUUGGUCAGUGUCACAUGAAACACCUGCUUCAAGCUGGCCAGUACGUGCAACUCCCUACAGGAGGCAGCGGCAAAUGCGUAAAGAAACCAGACACUUGGCUUACUCCCAGACCAAAUUACCUGGGACCUAUCAUGGUUACAGCGCGCCUCCAAAAACAUCCAGGCACCAAGGUCCCAAUCCGACUACCACAGCCCGGGAGCAAUCUUCAGCUCCCUCCCUGCAUCUUACUGGAUCUGGACAGUAACUGGGUAUUUAGCUUCAGGGGAUGUGGGCACACACAUAUAGGACCCCCAAUUUCAGGAUGCGAGAUCACAGAAUGUUGGGAAAAGGACCAAAGGACAGAGUGUCAAUUUAAGGAUACCCCCUUAGAACAAACGAACUAUUCUAUUUCCAGGGCCUCAGAUGGAUCAGUUGAGAUUCAUAACAUUUAUGAGGCCGCUAAUGGAUUGGGAGAGUAUAGGUGUGAAUGUGUGUGGGAGAGUUGGGCAGUUUUCAUUAACCUAACAGUGUCUGUAGAUGCGGGAUGGACGGAUGUUCCUCCUCUGCUGUGGGAACCUGGGAUGGAGGGACAUUAUUGUCAGGAACACUGUGUAUACUCAGUUAAAUGUUUACAUUGUACUGAUAUACGAUGUUAUAAGCUGACCACUUGUGGAUACUCCCCGCCUACUAUCUGUCCGGCACUGUACCCUAGCCCACCGGAGAGCAUUAUUCAAGUAGGCCCCAAAAAAACACUUUUGCAUGAUGCCCUUAUGGUCUCUGUUCAGGUUAAAUACGAUUUGUCCAAUUUUUUGGCACCCUUGCGAAAUGUGUGCUCAGACCACCCCAGCUCCCUGCAAUGGCUGCAGGACCAGCUACAGUUUCUAAUGCACCAGUAUGUUGUUCGGGCCUGCACAGCCAAAAGACAAAAACGUAGCAUCUUAAGUGAUAUUGGAGGAUUCUUUGGAAGCACCAAUUCUAUACUAAAUAUGCUUAACCUAAACUCUGAAAGGUCAUACAAUUCUUGGGUCAAAUGCCAAACCACCCAAGCCCUUAGACAUCCGAACACAGGUUUAUCCUAUGCUCUGACUGCAAUUGAUGUAGCAAUAGAGGAUUUUUACCAAAUCAUUGAAAAGACCUCAGACGCUAUAGUCAACCUGGCCAAGUCACAAGCUAAGGCCAUGCUUGUGAUAUACUAACUUGUGAUCUAUUUAAUAUUGCAAGAGAAGACAUGCUAGAUGUAUGCCUGCGUUUCCCCCCUUCCCAUACCCUUUCUUCCCCUACCCUUGCCUGCACUGCAAGGGUUUCCACUCAAUUGAUAGUGGCCUCUUUACUUCCUCCAGACUCAUCCUUCUCCUUUAAUUUCCUCCUUGCAUAUCCCUCUGUUAUUCCUACUCAUGUCUUUCCUUCUUCUUUCCGUUUCAAGUCUAUCGAUAUGUAACUAACAAUACGGUGUACAGAGUAGGACUGUCUGGAUAUCUGGCACCAUCCCCCCACAAUACCCCACUAAUGACAACAUCAGACUGCUGCACAGAGACGGAUAGCUAUAUUGUGUGUUCUACUCUCCAUCCUUUAACUCUGUCCACUUCUAUCCUUGUGGAUGUCCUUCCUCUUAUAGAUACUGAAGCUGCUGUGCAAGUAUCCACCACUCAGUGGUGUUUUAUCACUGCUGCAUCCAACUACAUGUACGGACCACUGCAGUGCCAGGCAAACGCUUCCAUGUGCCUGUAAAUUACUAACUUAUUUACCCUAGUUGAUGUGCACCUCCCCGGCCGUGUGUUCACUGGAAUGACAAUGGCUCCUUGGUGGUAUAACAACCUAUACCUGGACAACACACCAGUUCAACUGGCCAAGGAGCUACUACUCAGAGUGGUCCUGGCUGCUCCUUCUGCGUCUACCACUGUUCAUGACAGCACCACUAAAGGCCGCAUCAAAGUUCAACUCUCCAGUCAAACCAUCACUUGACUGGAAAAUCUUGUUCGUAACGCAGCCUACAACCCCCUCUCCUGGUAGACUGUUGUACAAAUAGCAUGUACUAUUGUACUGCCGCUGCUGCUUCUAUUUUUGUGUUACUAACCUCUAGUGUCAUGUGUGGAUAUUUCAGACAUAUGCUUAAAAAUCUCACUAUGCUUCCUAUCUCUGCCCCCUUCCCCCAACUCCCCUCUCCUACCUCCCUUAGGAAAUCCUAAGACCAAUUAUGUAUACCAAAGCAUUUAAGCAUUGACUACAUCUCAUCUAGGAGUUCGAUUUGUCAAACAGGAGGGAACUGUUAGGCAAGAGUUAAAAAAUUCAGUUAGCAGCUGAAACAAAAACCCACGUAACUAACAAGCAGGAACACCGGAAGCCCAGUCAAAUGUCCGUCCAGGAAGUGGGCUCUUAGAACAGAACAAACCCUCCCUUCACAGGGAUAUCUAUAAACACUCUGGAUAUCUGUAAACACUCACCCCCACCCCACCCCUUUGCCUUAAGGUAGUCAUGAAUAAUUGAUGUAAUCAAAACAGUUUGAUGCCUAUGUUCUGUUCCUGUCACUGUCAGGUUAAGUGUGUUCUUUGUCUCUGAAACAAUGUUUGUCUCUGUAAGAAUAAGAUAAAUACAAUUCAAUUGAUAAAAGAAAGGUAUAUAAUUGGUCACUGUAAUCCCACACCUUUGAAACUGUUUGUCAGUCUUCCUGGUUCUGUACAUAACCCCCCUUCAGUAUUUUC